CCCCGGGCGGGCGGCGCCGCGAGGAGGCGGCGGAGCCGUUGGCGGGCGGCGCUGUGAGGAGGCGGCGGAGCCGUUGGCGGGGGGCGCCGCGCCCCUCCCCUGCGCGGCCCCAGGGGCGACAAAACUGACGGAAAGGAGCGGCCGGUGGCUCCGGGAAAUGGUGUUUAUUCAGGGAGCAGGGAGGCCUUGCUUCUCCGUCGGUUCAUAAAUCGGGCUGUCACCGAAAUAAGAAUGAUUUCUCAUGGCCAGCUGCCAGGAUCUCUCCUUAUCGUCCAGUUGACAACUACUCUGACGCUUACUCGGGGCAACCUUCUCCUCGAAUGAGCAUUCAGCACCUUCGAGCUUAACAAAAAUCCUGAGAGCCUGGGAAGAUGAGCCUUCUGUGAGAAUUAAGCCAAGAGUCAACAGGACGUACCCGCGCCAGGGCACCCAGAGGACAUCCUUCCAGCUUGCUUUCCAAACGGAAGGCUCUUAGUUGGUGCCACGCUUCUCGGUACUUACGCCUGCUCCCAUUUUACACUCCACUAUGUGCUGAGGAAUUUGCUGUAAUCCAGAAUCUUGACAGUCGAUUUAACUUAAAAUCGCUAUGAAAUUAUAAACCUUCUGUCCACGAGCGAGUCUGAUAAAACGUUGGCUUUUGAUAGGGGGAACUUCUUCACGCAGGCAGCCCAAAGAACGUCACCAUUUCAUUUCUUCAACAGAUGGUUCAUAAAUCCAGGAGAGCAGACAUGUGUCCCUGGAUGCCACGUUUGCUUCCAACAUGCUACUCGUUUUCCCCGUAGAAGAGACGCCUGCUGCCAUGUCAUUCCCCAUGGAGACGCUUGGCCCGAGUAUUUUAUCCAUUUAUCAAGCCAGAUCAUCAACCAAACCAUCUCACCGCCUGAUCCGUUCUUACGCACCCCCACCACCACCACAGCUAUCAGCCCAAGCCAUGGAAGUGAAAACUGCUCUCUGCCUCCCAGUUUGCAGUAUCUCUGGCACGAUGGGGUACUCAGCUUCCCUGUCUCUACUUUCCCAGUGCAGAUGCCUGUAGGAGAAGAAAGGAGCAUAUCAGGACUUAAAGGUGGUGAAGCAAGUCUGCAGAGAAGUUCCCUAAAUGGGUAUCUAUCAAAACUGGAAAUGGAAAUGGAAGAUCAUUGUCUGCCUCAAAACCUGGCUUCCAUUCAAACAUUUUUAAAGUUGAAAGUCUUCAUCCUUUCAGCUGUUCUGAUGGAGGAACUCUGCACUGAGUCUUACCUGACACUUCAAAAUGUUUAGAUAUAUUAAAGUGACCAUUGUCAAUUCAAUCAUUUGCUGUUUGCAUUUGUGCGUUAACAUCUAAUUUACCAGCGGCUCAGCUUUAUCUCUUACUUUAAGUAUAACCCAACUUUAUAUAUCCCCACUCAAUAACACUUCAUCAAAUGCCUUCACAAUCGCUUUUUUUUUUGCCUUGUGCAAGACAAUGCUGCUGCUUCAUCAUAACCUUUGUCAGAAACUGUUUCCAUUAUUUGUGAAUGCUGCUUUUGUAUUGCUGUGCUUCAGAUGCGGCAUAGUUAAUGAUGUCUUUUGUGAUGGUAUGCAUUUUUGUGCUAAACAGCUUUUUCUUUUAAUGUAUCUUUACAUUUACUGCAGUAUGUGCCAAUUGCUUAUCCAUAUACCGUGUUUAUGCUUUGCCAGAUUGACUCCAGCUUCCUCCCUUCUUCACUGACACAAACACAUUUUUUCACUAGUCCAGCACUUUCCCACUGUUCUUCACGACAUAAUGGUCAGUGCCAACAGUCUUGUUUCUGAUUACAGAUCAUAAAUAAUUCAAUCUCUAAUUAGUCUUAAUGCACUUCUUAAAUGCACAUGGGUUAGUUUUAAAAUGUCACUCUGCAAUGUAAUGGUCAAUUUUUUUAGCUAUGCUCUGCUUUUGUGUAAAGAAAAUGUAUUCCUGAACUUUUUUUGGUUUUGUCAAGCAAUUUGCAGUCUUCAUUAUAUUCUCUCUGGAAUAAUUGGAAGAGCUUCAGUGCAGCUAGAAUUGCUUCGUGUUCUUUCUAUAAUAUACUUGCUCUUUAUCUGAUAGUACUUUAACAUAUCUCAGUAACUUUGGGGAAUUCUGCAGACACCUUCUCCAGAUUCCCUUCCAUGGGGAAUUCUGAUACAUCAUGUUUAUCAUGAUUUUUAAUACCAUACAAUAAAGGUCUGAUACAGAAAAGUAUUUUUCA
Molecule: long non-coding RNA, 2186 nt
Organism: Apteryx owenii (little spotted kiwi)
Lineage: Eukaryota; Metazoa; Chordata; Aves; Apterygiformes; Apterygidae
Source: Ensembl